CACCCCCCCCGCCCCGAGAAAGCGCGAGGCGCCGCCAGCCCCCACUCCCCGUGAGGGCGCCCAACGGUCAGUCAGCCCCAACCACUGCGGCCCUGGGCGGGGGGGGACGGGGGCUGGCGGCGAGGGGCCGCGGAGAGGGGCCGGCCCAGCAAGCCGAAGGAAAUACUCCGAGCUCAUGUGAUGUUAUUCAGGUGCACCCACAUGUUAUGUCUUCCAGGUGUGCCCAGGCACCUGGCCAGCUCGACCUGAAACAGAGGCGUUUUCUUCAAAGCAGCGGAUUUACGCAGCAAGAAGUAAACUGGUAAUUAUGAAAAAGAAAGUGAAAUGGAAGACAUUCCUUUUGAAAUGGCUCUCAUACGGCUUCUCUACCACAAACUGCACAUUUAAUUUGGAAUGGUUCGGUUGCCUUGGUCUUUGAACAACUGAUCCUGCCAUCUUCAAAGACUAAAGGACACGUCUGUCUGCACAGGUGACCUAGAAGAGAUAAAGAUGGCAAGACGCCUUCAGCCCGUUGUAGGAAGAUAUUAGGAUGCAAGACGGACCUCUAGACCUUUUGAGUUCCCCGUGUCAGGUGAAGUGUUUGCUAGAGCUCUUUGAAGAAGUAUCAGGCGUCAUUCUGCCUGGAGAUCCUGCCAGUGCCCAAAGCCUCGCAUCCAUCGGGAGAGAGAAAACGAGCAGCAUAACUACCCAGAUGCCUGUGCUGGUUUUCCUCACGCCUGCAAUUACUCCACUUCUCCCUGUUCUUAAGAUGGAAGGCUGAGUUGCAAAACCGCAGGCACUGUGGACUUCCACAAACAAAUUCUGCGGCCAAAUAUGGAUGUCCAAUUCCACAGCAGGUUGGCAACUUUCUGAUGUUAUUUACGGGGUUUGGAGAAGUAUGAUUUCCCAAAGGCACUUACAUAGCUGGAUGUUGGCUCAAGUUUUAGUUGACUAAUAAAAGUUUUCCAUUGCAUUAUGCCCCUCAUACAGCCUAUUUAACAGAUAGAAGUCUUGUCCUAAGCGCAGUAUGGCUCGUGAUGAUUGUGGCAGUCCACUGUCCGUCAUUCAUGCAAGUUUGGUGGUAUAUUUUUUUCUAGAAGCACCAUUUAGUAUUUCUUACAUUGCUGAAUGGUGCCUGAAUAAGGAGUUCUCUUUACUCAGGCCCACCAGAUGCUGUAGUCAUUUUCUAAAUUCAGUUUGUAUUCUACCUUCUGAAUCCAAGGCUGACUCAGCCCUACCUCUGCAACCUCUAACUUGCGCGUAUCUGUCACGUAGAGCUCGUACGAAUGAUGUGAUCCACCAUUUAAAUCUUCAAUCAAGUUUUUUAAUUAAAAGAGCUGCAUGACACUACCAUUCACGGGCUCGAUCAAUUUUAUGCUUUAAUUUGUGGAGUGUUAGAGAAUAGUGAGAAUAUUCAGAGACUCUCACUGAACGCAUUCUCCAGGUAGUGGCAGGAUCUCAGCACAACAGUUUGCUAAAGUUGCUGCUCCCAGUGACUUUAAUGGUACCGGACAAAUGCCUCGCCGACUGCCGGUCACCCUUUUUAUCAAGUUUAAUAUUGCCUUUCAGGGCACUUUUUGGCAAUCGUAAAUAUGCGCUUUCCGUUUACACAGUUGUGGCCUUGCGAGUGGUAAUGGGCAGAGAUGCUCACUUGAAACAUCUCUUACAGAAUAAACAGUAGCAGCCGAAGGUGAGGAUGGGAUUCUCAGUGCUUCGUUAGCACACGCGUGCUGGGAAAAGGGCAUUUUUCCCUCCACUGGGGAGGACUGGUCUCUGUACGAAGGGAAAUCUUCAGAUUUUAAUUUGUCGUUUGUUCUUUUUAGGUAGUGAACUACGCGCUGAUGGUCUUGGUUUUGAAGGGGAAUGUUGCGGCAGGACUUCGGCUAUCACGUGCCAGCGCGUGCAGCGUAGCACUAGGAGCGGGCUGCGGUACUGGAGGUGAGAAAGAAGCUGAGGUCGUACCUCCUGCUUAUCUGUGAGGCUUCUCUAAAAGUCACCAGAUGGAAAUCGCCUUUCGGAAAAACGAGGAUAACGCUGUUGUCAUCAAGGCUGUCUCAGUAAAGAGACUCUAAAGUGAAUCAGGUACCUGUUUGCUGUGUCGUGCCUGUGUACAGGGAUGCCGCUUUCUUUUAGCAGCCAAUAUCCUACCAUAAAUUAUUAUUUCUGAAUAAGUUGGGGCAGAGGACUAGGUGUGUUCUGGUUGUGCUGUUGCUUUGUCCUCUGACGCUGGCACCACGUUGCUGUGGAAAUUCAGACUCUCAUGAGGACCCUCCUAUUUUGCAUGUCUCUACUUUGACAUUUGUGACUUGAUUUCAAGAGGUACUUGGUGACCUGCAGCCAGUUACUUCCCCAAAAAUCAAGUCUUCACAUCCCCCAAAUUAACAAGCCCUUGUUUUGUUUUUUUUUUUUUUUGUUGCAGUCUUUUGAACAUCCUCUAAAUGUGUUAGCUCACAGCGGCGUUGUGAACAUUAAUUAACACUCACCAAGCACCAUGUAAAUAUUAAGUAUUAAAAGUAUAUUAAUUAUAUAGCACUUCAUAUGCGAUAUAAAUUCAACCUCGAAUGAAAGCCCCUCUCCAAAGAUUCAUAAAGAGCUUGUACUUUUUCGCCUGGGGAGAAAGAAAAAUACCUCCCUUAUGAAGAAAAGGGAAAAGCUUAACUCAGAAUGUCCUGUUAUUUACUCAUGUAUUGAUAUUACACAAUAAAAUAUUUACAUUAAAAUGUAUCCCUUUUCAAAAAGAACUUGUUAACUCCAUUUUCCAACUGAAUUUGGCCAAGUUGAAAAGAAAAUUAUAUAUGCCAGAGGACUGCAGUAAAAGAGAUUUAAGGGUUUUCAAAUACUAUAAAAAAGAGACUAUAAUAAGUGACUAGUGGACCAGUCAGCUGUUUUAAUUAAAACUGGGCUGCUUAUUGAUCUAUCGUACAGAUUUACCCCCAUCUCCAACGUUUCAGCAAUAUUCCCUGCAACCAUUUCAGAAAAUAGCGCUUGUAAGAGAACACUAAAGAAUAUGGAAGCUGAGAAUGGAAAUGUUUUAUAUCUAUGCAACAUUCUGUACAAAGAUACUUUUUUUUUUCCACCCCUUGUUAAGCACCUUAUGUGUUUUCAUACAAAAAUUAAAGUGAAUAUAUAGAAUCUGUAGGAUACUAGUUUUCUGACCUAAUUCUAAUGGGCUCACUGAUUGUUAUUGCUUUAAAAAAAACCCCAGAAGUCUAAAAUUUAUUGGUUUGUAUCACAUUUUUAAAGGUGUCAUCUAAAAAUGUUCUUGCCACUGAAACCAGCAGGAGCUUUAGUGGUUACAACUUCAAGGUGGGCAUUUGUCGUCCAUGAAUUGAUUAAAAUACGUUCUCGUGAAAGCCAAAGAAAAUACCAAAAAGGGACUAAUAAAUGUUUCGCACCAGUGUGGAAGGGCUACUGUAUCAGCAGCUGUGCUUGGUCGCUCUGCUUGUUCCUGAAGGGCUUGAUUUUUUUUUAUAUUUCUUUUUAUUAGUGAUAAAGGAACCAGAAGCAUGGCUGUGUCCCACCGAACUGGGGAAGGGGGGGAUGUAUCACAGGGAUAAAAGCCCCUUCUUUAU
Molecule: RNA transcript, 3551 nt
Organism: Chroicocephalus ridibundus (black-headed gull)
Lineage: Eukaryota; Metazoa; Chordata; Aves; Charadriiformes; Laridae
Exons: 7
Source: RefSeq, a predicted model, not a curated record